CGCAGCCCCGUCAGAUCCCAGCUCUAUCCUCAGUCGUUCUUCCUGAUUUAUGGGGGAUACCAUGCAAGACCCCCAAUGCAGGCCUGAAACCUCAGCAUCUUGCAAUGUUGGGCCCUUCAAGUUUGACUUUUUUCACUCAGUGCAAUGCCUUUGAAUCAAACAUGCUGUUG
Condylura cristata (star-nosed mole) is the source of this 170-nucleotide long non-coding RNA. RefSeq lists it as uncharacterized. The record is from RefSeq and is a predicted model, not a curated record. Lineage: Eukaryota; Metazoa; Chordata; Mammalia; Eulipotyphla; Talpidae. The transcript has 3 exons.